GAUUGAACGCUGGCGGUAUGCUUAACACAUGCAAGUCGAACGGAAACGAUACUAGCUUGCUAGUAGGCGUCGAGUGGCGGACGGGUGAGUAACGCGUAGGAAUCUGCCUGAUAGUGGGGGAUAGCCCGAAGAAAUUCGGAUUAAUACCGCAUAAUCUAUUCGUAGUAAAGUGGGGGACUUUCGAGCCUCACGCUAUCAGAUGAGCCUGCGUAAGAUUAGCUUGUUGGUAGGGUAAAAGCCUACCAAGGCGACGAUCUUUAGCUGGUCUGAGAGGAUGAUCAGCCACAUCGGGACUGAGACACGGCCCGAACUCCUACGGGAGGCAGCAGUGGGGAAUAUUGGACAAUGGGGGCAACCCUGAUCCAGCAAUACCGCGUGUGUGAAGAAGGCCUGAGGGUUGUAAAGCACUUUCAAUUGUGAAGAAAAGUUAGCGGUUAAUAACCGUUAGCCUUGACGUUAACUUUAGAAGAAGCACCGGCUAACUCCGUGCCAGCAGCCGCGGUAAUACGGAGGGUGCAAGCGUUAAUCGGAAUUACUGGGCGUAAAGCGUGCGUAGGCGGUUUAUUAAGUCAGAUGUGAAAGCCCCGGGCUUAACCUGGGAACUGCAUUUGAAACUGGUCAACUAGAGUAUGGUAGAGGAAAGUGGAAUUUCUGGUGUAGCGGUGAAAUGCGUAGAUAUCAGAAGGAACAUCAAUGGCGAAGGCAGCUUUCUGGACCAAUACUGACGCUGAGGUACGAAAGCGUGGGUAGCAAACAGGAUUAGAUACCCUGGGUAGUCCACGCCGUAAACGAUGAUAACUAGCCGUUGGGGGGAUUUACCCUUUAGUGGCGAAGCUAACGCGUUAAGUUAUCCGUCUGGGGAGUACGGCCGCAAGGUUAAAACUCAAAGGAAUUGACGGGGACCCGCACAAGCGGUGGAGCAUGUGGUUUAAUUCGAUGCAACGCGAAGAACCUUACCUGGUCUUGACAUCCUGCGAACUUUCUAGAAAUAGAUUGGUGCCUUCGGGAACGCAGUGACAGGUGCUGCAUGGCUGUCGUCAGCUCGUGUCGUGAGAUGUUGGGUUAAGUCCCGUAACGAGCGCAACCCCUAUCCUUAUUUGCCAGCACAUCAUGGUGGGAACUAUAAGGAGACUGCCGGUGAUAAACCGGAGGAAGGCGGGGACGACGUCAAGUCAUCAUGGCCCUUACGACCAGGGCUACACACGUGCUACAAUGGGAAGGACAAAGAGCCGCGAAGCCGCGAGGUGUAGCUAAUCUCAUAAACCUUUUCGUAGUCCGGAUUGGAGUCUGCAACUCGACUCCAUGAAGUCGGAAUCGCUAGUAAUCGUAGAUCAGAAUGCUACGGUGAAUACGUUCCCGGGUCUUGCACUCACCGC
This 1376-nucleotide ribosomal RNA is filed under the name uncultured bacterium. Its description in RNAcentral is "bacterial SSU rRNA". It matches the Rfam family "Bacterial small subunit ribosomal RNA", at positions 27 to 1393 of the family's 1533-position model. The record is from RNAcentral.